Molecule: long non-coding RNA, 1763 nt
Filed under: Homo sapiens (human)
Lineage: Eukaryota; Metazoa; Chordata; Mammalia; Primates; Hominidae
Description: non-protein coding lnc-VWDE-6:1
Source: RNAcentral
AAUAAAACUUGCAACAUCAAUUUCAACAUCGAUUUUAUAUCUCUAUUUUAGUGAUAGAUUUUAAAAAAUAUUAGUAUAUCAAUAUAUAAAAUUUAGACCUGAUAUAAUAAAAAUACUUACGGAUUUAAAGAAAUUUUGGGAACCGGAAGAAUAAUACAAAGAAUUAUUAGAGAUUAGUGUAGUGGUUCUGGGUUCACUUUUUCCUGUGUAUACUUUUAGCUCCUAUGACACAAAGAAAAAUCUUUAGCUCCGGAAGUGUUUCACAUGAACUGUAAAACCUCGGUUAUUAAUUUACUAUUUUAUUGCCAUUUGGUUUAACAACAUGUAGAAAAAUGUUUGUUCUUAAGACCUGAAAUCCUGCAGCCUUACAAACUUACAAAUCAUUUGAACAUCACAAAAAAGUUCAAAUGAUUAAGGCUAAUAAUGUUCUAUAUUGCAUUAUUUUGACCUUUUUAUCUAAUUGCAAAUCUUGUAAUGACCCACUGAGCAUAUUUACCUUUUGAAUCAAGGAAGCAGCAAGAAGCAAACAGCUGGGUAAGUACUUAUAGAAAGAGAAGGCAGAAAAAUGAAGGAAAAUGUUUCCCUUUCAGGUAUAUUCUUUUCAGUUGUCUUAAUUACUAUGCUCUUGCAUUUAUGGCUUUUAUUAAGUUAUUGCAAUAUUUAAUUUUUCAAACAAUAACAAUGAAAAAUUAUAGUGUAUUAAUAUAUUCCUUAAAAUAAGAGGUAAAGAAUGCGUUUUUUCUCAUCUAUCGAUAUAGUGAAAUAUUUGUGAAUAAAAUGAUACAAUGUUUGGGAUUUACUUUGAAAUAUAAAGGGAUAGAUGAGACUGUAUUGCCAAAGUGAUUGAUGAUAAUUGUUGGUAUUAAGUAAUGUGCAUAUAGAGGUUCACUAUUCUCUUAGAUCAACUUUUGCUUAUGUUUAAAACUCUCCAUUAUAAAGAGUUUCUCUUAAUAAAAGGAUAAACUUAGGUUUUGUGUGGUUUUAAAAAUCAUUUAGCUAUAAUCGCCUUCUGAAAUAUUUAUGAAAUGAAUAAAGCUCUUAGCAUUGUAUGGCUGGAUAUAUUUGUCAGAAUUUAAGGUGCCAGUCCAACUAGGCCCACCAUAUUCAGGGCUGACAUUUGUAUUCCUUUUCCAAAACAAUGGGCAGGUGUGAGUUGCUUUUCCUUAUGUGAGGUAAUCAUUGGUAACUUUUCUUCCUCUCCAAGUUUGUGUAUGGCAGAUCUUGUCUACAGAUGUUGCUUUUUCUCUCAUCAAGCAAUUGCACAAUUAAACUGUCAAGUGUGAGCUGCUUCUUCUUAUGUGAGGUAAUCAUUGGUACUUUUCUUCCUCCAAGUUUGUGUAGGGCAGAUUUUGUCUACAGAUGUUGCUUUUACUCUUAUCAAGCAAUUGCACAAUUAAACUGUCAAGUAGUAAGUAUCUAAUAUAGUCCAAAGACUUUGUGAAGGAAAAAGCUAAUUUAUAAAAGACAGCACAGAGAACAAUUGUCCAAAGGAGAUUAAUGAGCAAAACUGGCUUAUCUUAUUGAAAUGUUUAAACUAAUUGAUUAUGUACUUUUAGGGAGAGUUUUCUACAUUAAAAUGCGAGUUGAAAAUUGGUAACAUUUAUUGCCACAUUUAUUAUGAAAGUUCAUGAUAACUUAAACAUUUUGAAUGGUGAAUACUAAAAUCUGAAAGAGGAUGUCCAUAGGCUGAGGAGAAUAAAUAACUCUGAAGGCCUCUGUCAUUCAGGCUUUAUAUUGUGAGGAUGUAACUUUUUGGCUUCUUU